AACACGUGGGUAACCUGCCCAGAAGUAGGGGAUAACACCUGGAAACAGAUGCUAAUACCGUAUAACAGAGAAAACCGCAUGGUUUUCUUUUAAAAGAUGGCUCUGCUAUCACUUCUGGAUGGACCCGCGGCGUAUUAGCUAGUUGGUGAGGUAAAGGCUCACCAAGGCAGUGAUACGUAGCCGACCUGAGAGGGUAAUCGGCCACAUUGGGACUGAGACACGGCCCAGACUCCUACGGGAGGCAGCAGUAGGGAAUCUUCCACAAUGGACGCAAGUCUGAUGGAGCAACGCCGCGUGAGUGAAGAAGGGUUUCGGCUCGUAAAGCUCUGUUGUUAAAGAAGAACGUGGGUAAGAGUAACUGUUUACCCAGUGACGGUAUUUAACCAGAAAGCCACGGCUAACUACGUGCCAGCAGCCGCGGUAAUACGUAGGUGGCAAGCGUUAUCCGGAUUUAUUGGGCGUAAAGCGAGCGCAGGCGGUCUUUUAAGUCUAAUGUGAAAGCCUUCGGCUCAACCGAAGAAGUGCAUUGGAAACUGGGAGACUUGAGUGCAGAAGAGGACAGUGGAACUCCAUGUGUAGCGGUGAAAUGCGUAGAUAUAUGGAAGAA
Molecule: ribosomal RNA, 607 nt
Filed under: Pediococcus pentosaceus
Lineage: Bacteria; Bacillati; Bacillota; Bacilli; Lactobacillales; Lactobacillaceae
Description: bacterial SSU rRNA
Rfam family: Bacterial small subunit ribosomal RNA
Source: RNAcentral